AUGAAAAACUGGACAGCACCUGGCCCUGACAUGAUCCACGCCUACUGGCUAAAGAAGCUCACUGCAAUCCAUGAGCGCCUGGCAGCACAAAUGAACCAGCUGCUAAGGGAUGGGACUCACCCUGAAUGGCUAACCGAAGGGCGAACGAUCCUGAUAAUGAAGAGCUACACUCUGCCAGUGAUCAGAUACCCUGCGGGAAUAAUAAGGUGGCCAAAGGAAGAGAUACAGACCACAGAUGUUAAGACACGAAAGCUCCUCACCAUGCAUGGAGGGUUCCACCCCAAAUCCAGCACCCUGAGACUGUACGCUAGCCGCAAGGAAGGAGGCCGAGGACUAGUGAGCGUGAGAGCCACUAUCCGGGAUGAAACAUGCAAGAUCCAUAAGUACAUCAAGGAUAAGGCCCCGACAGAUGACGUGCUGAGUGAAUGUCUCAGGCAGUGGAGAACAGAGGAUGAGAUGCUGGAAGAGGGACCAUCAUGGGAGGACAAGCCCUUGCACGGGAUGUACCACCGGAACAUAACUGAAGUGGCUGAUCUCAACAAAUCCUACCAAUGGCUUGAAAGGGCUGGGCUGAAGGACAGCACAGAGGCACUCAUCCUGGCCGCACAGGAGCAGGCCCUGAGCACCAGAGCCAUAGAGGCCCAGAUUUACCACACCAGACAAGACCCAAGGUGUAGACUGUGCAAAGAGGCCCCAGAGACGGUCCAGCACAUAACUGCAGGGUGUAAGAUGCUGGCAGGCAAAGCAUACAUGGAACGCCAUAACCAAGUGGCUGGCAUAGUAUACAGGAACAUCUGCGCGGAGUAUGGACUGGAAUCCCCAAGGUCAAAGUGGGAAACACCUCCCAAGGUGGUAGAGAACGAGCGAGCCAAAAUCCUGUGGGACUUCCAGAUACAGACAGACAGAAUGGUAAUGGCGAACCAACCAGACAUUGUGGUGGUGAAUAAAGAGCAGAGGAAAGCUGUAGUGGUGGAUGUGGCAAUACCAAGCGAUGGCAACAUCAGGAAAAAGGAACAUGAGAAACUAGAGAAAUACCAAGGGCUCAGAGAAGAACUGGAGAAGGCUUGGAAGGUGAAGGCCACAGUGGUGCCUGUGGUGAUCGGAGCACUAGGGGCUGUGACCCCCAAACUGGAGGAGUGGCUACGACAGAUCCCUGGAAAAACAUCCGAAAUCUCAGUCCAGAAAAGUGCAGUCCUAGGAACAGCAAGGAUACUGCGCAGAACCCUCAAGCUCCCUGGCCUCUGGUAG
Molecule: long non-coding RNA, 1248 nt
Filed under: Betta splendens (Siamese fighting fish)
Lineage: Eukaryota; Metazoa; Chordata; Actinopteri; Anabantiformes; Osphronemidae
Description: lncRNA (ENSBSLG00000021182.1)
Source: RNAcentral